Molecule: transfer RNA, 69 nt
Filed under: Haematopinus tuberculatus
Lineage: Eukaryota; Metazoa; Arthropoda; Insecta; Psocodea; Haematopinidae
Description: tRNA-Tyr
Source: RNAcentral
GUAAUGGUGGCUGAAUUUAUAGGCGAAGUGUUGUAAGUACUUUUAUGAAUAAUGUUUAUUCCCAUUUCA